GCAGUCUGGAGAUUUCCGAUUUCGAUUGGAAUAGUAAACUGGCGAAAGGGUGCGUAACGCGUAGGCAACCUGCCUCGGAGUGAGGAAUAACUUCGCGAAAGCGGAGCUAAUACCGCAUGAUGUCCCGAAGCCGCAUGACUUUGGGAUUAAAGAUAUUGUGCUCUGAGAUGGGCCUGCGUCCUAUUAGUUAGUUGGUAGGGUAACGGCCUACCAAGACGACGAUGGGUAGCUGGUCUGAGAGGAUGAUCAGCCACACUGGCACUGAGACACGGGCCAGACUUCUACGGAAGGCAGCAGUGAGGAAUAUUGGGCAAUGGGCGCAAGCCUGACCCAGCAACGCCGCGUGGGUGAUGAAGCUCCGAGGAGUGUAAAGCCCUGUUAGGAGGGAAGAAUCAUCCGAUUUAUCGGAAUUGACGGUACCUCCAGAGAAAGCUCCGGCUAACUCCGUGCCAGCAGCCGCGGUAACACGGGGGGAGCAAGCGUUGUCCGGAUUUACUGGGCGUAAAGAGCAUGUAGGCGGAGUAAUUAGUCAGUGGUGAAAUCUUUCAACUUAAGUGAGAGCGUGCCAUUGAAACUAUUACUCUUGAGUGCGGAAGAGGGGAGUGGAAUUCCUGGUGUAGCGGUGAAAUGCGUAGAUAUCAGGAAGUACACCAGUAGCGAAGGCGGCUUCCUGGUCCGCAACUGACGCUGAGAUGCGAAAGCGUGGGGAGCAAACAGGAUUAGAUACCCUGGUAGUCCACGCCGUAAACGAUGGGCACUAGGUGUUGGAGGGUUCGACCCCUUCAGUGCCGCAGCUAACGCAU
Molecule: ribosomal RNA, 803 nt
Filed under: uncultured bacterium
Lineage: Bacteria
Description: bacterial SSU rRNA
Rfam family: Bacterial small subunit ribosomal RNA
Source: RNAcentral